CAGCCGCCACGGGAAUACAGAGGGUGCGAGCGUUAAUCGGAUUUACUGGGCGUAAAGCGUGCGUAGGCGGCUUCUUAAGUCGGAUGUGAAAUCCCUGAGCUUAACUUAGGAAUUGCAUUCGAUACUGGGAAGCUAGAGUAUGGGAGAGGAUGGUAGAAUUCCAGGUGUAGCGGUAAAAUGCGUAGAGAUCUGGAGGAAUACCGAUGGCGAAGGCAGCCAUCUGGCCUAAUACUGACGCUGAGGUACGAAAGCAUGGGGAGCAAACAGGAUUAGAUACCCGAGUAGUCCCUGUCUCUUAUAC
This 301-nucleotide ribosomal RNA is filed under the name uncultured bacterium. Its description in RNAcentral is "partial 16S ribosomal RNA". It matches the Rfam family "Bacterial small subunit ribosomal RNA", at positions 509 to 807 of the family's 1533-position model. The record is from RNAcentral.